GCCAGGUGUGGUGGCGUACACCUGUAAUCCCAGGUACUGGGGAGGCUGAGACAGGAGAAUCACUUGAACCCGGGAGGUGGAGGUUGCAGUGAGCCAAGACUGUACCACUGCACUCCAGCCUGGGUGACAGAGUGAGACUCUGUCUCAA
RNAcentral lists this signal recognition particle RNA (148 nucleotides) under Nomascus leucogenys (northern white-cheeked gibbon). Its description in RNAcentral is "Metazoan signal recognition particle RNA". It matches the Rfam family "Metazoan signal recognition particle RNA". Rfam says of the family: The signal recognition particle (SRP) is a universally conserved ribonucleoprotein. It is involved in the co-translational targeting of proteins to membranes. The record is from Rfam by way of RNAcentral. Lineage: Eukaryota; Metazoa; Chordata; Mammalia; Primates; Hylobatidae.